Molecule: ribosomal RNA, 506 nt
Filed under: uncultured bacterium
Lineage: Bacteria
Description: partial 16S ribosomal RNA
Rfam family: Bacterial small subunit ribosomal RNA
Source: RNAcentral
AUUGAACGCUGGCGGCAGGCCUAACACAUGCAAGUCGAACGGUAACAGGAAACAGCUUGCUGUUUCGCUGACGAGUGGCGGACGGGUGAGUAAUGUCUGGGAAACUGCCUGAUGGAGGGGGAUAACUACUGGAAACGGUAGCUAAUACCGCAUAACGUCGCAAGACCAAAGAGGGGGACCUUCGGGCCUCUUGCCAUCGGAUGUGCCCAGAUGGGAUUAGCUAGUAGGAGGGGUAACGGCUCACCUCGGCGACGAUCCCUAGCUGGUCUGAGAGGAUGACCAGCCACACUGGAACUGAGACACGGUCCAGACUCCUACGGGAGGCAGCAGUGGGGAAUAUUGCACAAUGGGCGCAAGCCUGAUGCAGCCAUGCCGCGUGUAUGAAGAAGGCCUUCGGGUUGUAAAGUACUUUCAGCGGGGAGGAAGGGAGUAAAGUUAAUACCUUUGCUCAUUGACGUUACCCGCAGAAGAAGCACCGGCUAACUCCGUGCCAGCCGCCGCCGUAA